Molecule: unclassified non-coding RNA, 2207 nt
Filed under: Stylophora pistillata
Lineage: Eukaryota; Metazoa; Cnidaria; Anthozoa; Scleractinia; Pocilloporidae
Description: uncharacterized LOC111346986, transcript variant X2
Source: RNAcentral
AUCUGAAAUAAUUGUUAUAAUUUACUAAUCAGCUACUCAUUGAUUGCAGUACCUAAUAUCAAAUUAAUAUUUAAAAUUUUUUUGGAAAACAUUCAAUAUAUUCUAAAGGCAGGCAUCAAUGAUGGUGUCCUCUGUUGAUAUUUUGUCUCCUUUUUGGUUGUUGGUUGAUUUUUGUAACAAGUUCUAACAAUUCAAUCAACAACAUGAUUGGUUCGCUGUGUACCAUGUUGAAUGGACAGAAGAGAAAAACUGCCGACAUCUGCCUUGAUUACCGAUGAACUGUCUUCCACCUACUUGUGUCCUCAUAUAUGCCUACUUCCAAAAUUAAUGAAAUCCCUGUUCACCAUAAUUUAUAGUCAGUUGGGGUACUAGCAUUGAUUGAAAAGAAAAGGAAAAAUGGGUCAAGUGUGCAACCACCCCUUCCCUAACCUAAGAUUCACCCUAACCUGUUGUCAGUUGACUGUUGUAUGGUUUAAGAGAGGGGUAAGUAUGCAGUUGUUCAGACGCUAAUGUUGGUAAGCAAAAAAUGUUAGUGGCUGUGAUAUGAUAAAAUGUUUAUUGACUGUAUGUGUCAGAUAAGGCUGGACGGGAAGAUAAUUUGUGCGUGUUCAUAGCAUGUAGACCCCAUUGCAUGUGGUUCAUACAUCAUAUUUUUCAGUCGAGCCAUUCUACUUGGUCAAUAAAUACAUGCUAUUAUAUAGAUGACAGCACCUGUGAGCAAUCUGAUACAAAUCCUGAGUUCUGAUUGAAGCGAAAUCAUUUUGCUAUAUAAUAAAUCCUUUAUUGACCAAGUUUGUUUGGUCAAGAUGGCUAGAUUUUAGCCUCAUUCUUCUUUGGCAUUUUUAUAGACCUCGACUUCAUCUUGGUCCAUAAAAAUGCAAAAAAAACGAACAUAGUCAAUAAUGCAUAUAUAUAUUUUAUUCACCCACCUGCUGGGUAAUGUAUUCAACUUAUAUGUUUGUUACUUCUAAAAGUCAAAGGGCUUUUGUUUCUCUCUCUUCUCUAGGAAAGUUUUCCAAGAAUCAUUGCACAUAUUCCAACUCUGGAAGUUCUUUCUGUCAGGGGCAACUUUAUUACUUAUUUACCAACAGAGCUUCUCAACUUACAGAGUCUAACACAUCUCGAUGUUCAAGAGAAUCCUUUAACAUCACCUCCACCAGAAAUCGUAGAACAAGGGUUACAAUCCAUUUUAGAUUAUUUAAAAAGGAGAAAAGGCAGGAAAAACUUAUUUUGCAACUUCAAACCAUGGUUUUGUGAGGACAAAAGCCCUGUUAUUUUUGAAGUGUCUACGUUAUUUGAACUCUCCAUCAAGUGUAUUCUUGACUGUCAUAUCGACUUUCUUAGUGCGGGUCACAUACCACCACGACUGAAAUCAAAUCUUGAAGAAGACAGAAAGCAGGAACAAAGCUCUAUUUUUAUAUGCAAGUGCAACGUGUGUAAGAAGUAUUUCUCCAAUAAGUUACAAUUUGAAAUCCACGACUGCUCGCCGGUUCAAUGGCAAGCGAUAUCACUCUCGAACUAGCUGGUUACGUUACCUUAGUUUCGUAAACAUAAAGUCAUUAUAUUGCGAAUAAAUUUCCAGGUAGAUAGGUGGGAAAUAAAAGAGGAGCCAUUUUGUUUAAUAGCAGAGCAGCUGUUUGACCCUAAAAGAUAUGACGGCACUGCCUAAAUUACAAUGAUAUCUAUCAGGGCAUGAAUAGCCUGCGAGAAGGCCCUUAUUAGCAGCGCGUCAGGGUGGGCAUUUCAUCACCUGCGAUAAUCUUUUAGCUUUGAGCAACGUGAGCUGGUGAGAGGUCUGUAAGUGCUCUGGCACUGAUGACAUAAAGUGCCAGACCCCCAGCAAACCACUACCUUACUCGACUUAACUCUUCCCGCAGGUGGAGAAACGCACUUACAGCGCUAAGGAAAAUAGGCCGCUCGCACGCUAGCCCAUGAAAAUUGUUUUGUCGUGAUACUGGGAGCCGCGCAAAAUACGCCAGAGAGAUUUGAAAACAGCUUUGUCAUUUCAGUUUCUGUAUAAUAUUUUACGCGGGAAAUUGGCGCGCGGCAACACAGAAGUCACACAUUGGGCAUGCACGAGAGGAUCCAUUUUACCCGGCAGCGCGCUCAAUCGUAAUGUGUUACGAAGCGCGAACAAACUUACAUAUCAACACCUUGUGUACUCAUGGCUCAAAGAUACUUAAUUAAAAAGUUGAAUAUUUUCUUUA